CAUUAAGAAGCUAUGUACCAGCACUAGCCUUUUAAGCUAGAGAAAGAGGAAAUACUCCUCCUUAAUGA
This 68-nucleotide transfer RNA is filed under the name Tricholaema leucomelas (pied barbet). RNAcentral's name for it is "tRNA-Lys". The record is from RNAcentral. Lineage: Eukaryota; Metazoa; Chordata; Aves; Piciformes; Lybiidae.